This is a long non-coding RNA of Patella vulgata (common limpet), 1521 nucleotides long. RefSeq lists it as uncharacterized. Lineage: Eukaryota; Metazoa; Mollusca; Gastropoda; Patellidae. The record is from RefSeq and is a predicted model, not a curated record. The transcript has 3 exons.
UAACGUGACCCAACCAGGUGCAUACGAGCCUAAUAAACUAUAAGUACUAGAGAUGAAAAUAUUAUAGCAACUAAAACAGUGGACGUGUUCAUAUUGGUUUGUAUUUUGUUGAACGGAUUUUACUGGGGAUACUUCAUACAGUUAAAAGCGGUUAAACGGAUUUUACAAGGGGUACUCCAUUGCAAACAGAAGCGUUGAACGGAUUUUCGGAUUUUACAAGGGAUACUUCAUACAGAUAAAAGCGGUUGCCGGAUUUUACAAGAGAUACUUCGUUUCAUACGGAUAAAAGUGGUUGACCGGAUUUUACAAGGGAUACUUAGCUGCAAACAGAAAGCGGUUGAACCGAGUUUACAAUGAAUACUUCAUACCGAUCAAAGCGACAUCACUGAAGAAACGAAAACUGUAAUUGCGUAAAAAGAAUUAAGCCGAUAUUUGUCGGGUUGGUUCCGGGAAGUUUCGUUUGACAAUAUGUUGAAUAAAUUAAAUUGAAAAUAGGUUAUAGCAGUGAAUUUGUCAGGUUUGUGCCAGGUAGAUCGAAUUGAAUUGAAGAACCAGGUUGCUUCCUAUUCUAACAGAGUUUACAGGAUUCCACAUUUAGUUAGUGAAUUCGGAUUGGUAUUUAAUAUAAUUUUCGGGGUGCAUUUACAUGACCGAGCAAUAAAUUCAGUUUCUAAUGACCGUACUAUGAAACCAGUUCUUUAUUGAGUUAGUGAAUUCGGUUACAAGCCAGACAGUUAGAGCUAGGCUGAAGCCGGAAAGCCCUCCAAGCUCUCAUAGACGAUACCACAAGUAGACAUUUUAUUAUUUGGAAUACCAUUUGCAGCAGAUAGCAUAGUUUGACAGACACAAUGGGUGAUACAUUGAUGGAAAUGUUAAUUAACGAAGAUGAUGACUCUCAAUCAGAUGACAAUGGACAGAUACAAGUAAGACUGCGACCACCGGAUUACAAAAUAUUAGCCUUUGUUGCUUGUAUCUUCAAUCCCGUAUUUGGUAUGGUAGCCUGGCUGACCAAUAGACGAGCAAAGCUUCUAUUAACAAAUGGUCGUUAUUCAGACGCCAACAUGUGUUACCUUGCAUCCUUUACGUCCAGUUUAUUUGGGAUUUAUUUAACAGGAUUGGUUGUGUUCCUGCUCUUGGUACCUACGAUGAUACCCGCCUCAUGAUGUUAACACCUGAAAAUAUGCAACCGAUAGUGUUCCGCUUAAACUUUUUCUGUGAAUCAAAGUGAAAAUCGUUUAUAAACGCAAGAUACUGCUUUUUAAAUUGUUUCGACAAUCUAUAGUGUACGAUAUGUAUAAAAAUGACGAUAAUACUUUUAAACUAAAAGGUAUAAAUAUUGAUUUGAGGCCUUCUAUUGCUCUCCGGUAAAGACUUCACAAAAGCUAACAAAUUUUAGAUGUACUUUUCAAUUGUAAAUAUUUACUACUUUGUAUUGUAAAUACUAAUUACUUUGUAUUGUAAAUACUAAUUACUUUGUAUUGUAGAUAAUCAUUAUUUGGUACUGUAUUAAACUAUAUGUUA